AUUGAACGCUGGCGGCAUGCUCUACACAUGCAAGUCGAACGGUAACAGGCCGCAAGGUGCUGACGAGUGGCGAACGGGUGAGUAAUGCAUCGGAACGUGCCCAGUCGUGGGGGAUAACUACUCGAAAGAGUAGCUAAUACCGCAUACGAUCUAUGGAUGAAAGCGGGGGACCGUAAGGCCUCGCGCGAUUGGAGCGGCCGAUGUCAGAUUAGGUAGUUGGUGGGGUAAAGGCUCACCAAGCCAACGAUCUGUAGCUGGUCUGAGAGGACGACCAGCCACACUGGGACUGAGACACGGCCCAGACUCCUACGGGAGGCAGCAGUGGGGAAUUUUGGACAAUGGGCGCAAGCCUGAUCCAGCAAUGCCGCGUGCAGGAAGAAGGCCUUCGGGUUGUAAACUGCUUUUGUACGGAACGAAACGGCUCUGGUUAAUACCCGGGGCUAAUGACGGUACCGUAAGAAUAGGCACCGGCUAACUACGUG
Molecule: ribosomal RNA, 482 nt
Filed under: uncultured bacterium
Lineage: Bacteria
Description: partial 16S ribosomal RNA
Rfam family: Bacterial small subunit ribosomal RNA
Source: RNAcentral